This 207-nucleotide ribosomal RNA is filed under the name uncultured bacterium. Its description in RNAcentral is "partial 16S ribosomal RNA". It matches the Rfam family "Bacterial small subunit ribosomal RNA", at positions 568 to 774 of the family's 1533-position model. The record is from RNAcentral.
CGCGUAGGCGGCCUGCCAAGUCAGGAGUGAAAUCUUUCGGCUCAACCGGAAAAGUGCUCUUGAUACUGGCGGGCUAGAGGGAGAUAGGGGCAUGUGGAACUUCCGGUGGAGCGGUGAAAUGCGUUGAUAUCGGAAGGAACGCCGGUGGCGAAAGCGACGUGCUGGACCUCUUCUGACGCUGAGGCGCGAAAGCCAGGGGAGCGAACG